CCUACGGGGCGCAGCAGUGGGGAAUAUUGGACAAUGGGCGAAAGCCUGAUCCAGCCAUGCCGCGUGUGUGAAGAAGGCCUUCGGGUUGUAAAGCACUUUCAGUGGGGAAGAAAGCCUUGGGGCUAAUACCCUCGAGGAAGGACAUCACCCACAGAAGAAGCACCGGCUAACUCCGUGCCAGCAGCCGCGGUAAUACGGAGGGUGCGAGCGUUAAUCGGAAUUACUGGGCGUAAAGCGCGCGUAGGCGGUCUGAUAAGCCGGUUGUGAAAGCCCCGGGCUCAACCUGGGAACGGCAUCCGGAACUGUCAGGCUAGAGAGCAGGAGAGGAAGGUAGAAUUCCCGGUGUAGCGGUGAAAUGCGUAGAGAUCGGGAGGAAUACCAGUGGCGAAGGCGGCCUUCUGGACUGACACUGACGCUGAGGUGCGAAAGCGUGGGUAGCAAACAGGAUUAGAUACCCGGGUAGUC
RNAcentral lists this ribosomal RNA (465 nucleotides) under Vreelandella stevensii. RNAcentral's name for it is "partial 16S ribosomal RNA". It matches the Rfam family "Bacterial small subunit ribosomal RNA", at positions 338 to 795 of the family's 1533-position model. Lineage: Bacteria; Pseudomonadati; Pseudomonadota; Gammaproteobacteria; Oceanospirillales; Halomonadaceae. The record is from RNAcentral.